UACGAAGGGUGCAAACGUUGCUCGGAAUCAUUGGGCGUAAAGCGCACGUAGGCGGCACUGUAAGUCGGACGUGAAAUCCCUCGGCUCAACCGAGGAAGUGCAUCCGAAACUACAGCGCUCGAGUAUGGAAGAGGGUCGCGGAAUUCUCGGUGUAGAGGUGAAAUUCGUAGAUAUCGGGAGGAACACCAGUGGCGAAGGCGGCGACCUGGGCCAAUACUGACGCUGAGGUGCGAAAGCGUGGGGAGCAAACAGG
This 253-nucleotide ribosomal RNA is filed under the name uncultured bacterium. Its description in RNAcentral is "partial 16S ribosomal RNA". It matches the Rfam family "Bacterial small subunit ribosomal RNA", at positions 524 to 776 of the family's 1533-position model. The record is from RNAcentral.